This 75-nucleotide antisense RNA is filed under the name Streptomyces bingchenggensis BCW-1. RNAcentral describes it as "ASpks TB sRNA". It matches the Rfam family "ASpks TB sRNA". Lineage: Bacteria; Bacillati; Actinomycetota; Actinomycetes; Kitasatosporales; Streptomycetaceae. The record is from Rfam by way of RNAcentral.
CUUGAUCGACCCCAACAGCAGCGGACGCCCGGCGUCCCGGCCCUGGCCGUAGGUGGCGAGGAUCGCCUGCGCCUC